Paramormyrops kingsleyae is the source of this 1651-nucleotide non-coding RNA. The record is from RefSeq and is a predicted model, not a curated record. NCBI's taxonomy places the organism in Eukaryota, Metazoa, Chordata, Actinopteri, Osteoglossiformes, Mormyridae.
UGCUGGGGGAGCGACACGCUUUGAAGAUACGGCGCGGCGAAAAGACAUUCCAAUUCCGACAGUCAUAAUCUGGAAUGCAGAGUCUUUUCCCACUAAACCGCAGACUGAAAGCCUUUGUUCUGCCUUUCCCAUGCUCAUGCAAGAAACUUGUACUCCGGCAAGCAAAGUCAUCAACCGGCUGGACGGAAAAGAAAGACGAAGCGAUGGGAGAUUAUGGGAAAGAGGGGGGCACAGGACGAGGCCUGGGAGAGGAGCAGUGGAUCCCAAAGGAAACGAGGGAAGGGACACAAGGAGGGGCCCAUCAACCUCCUGGUAUUUCAGCUUCAUGUCACGCAAUCGACCAAAGCCCAGUGACAUCUCUCUAAGAGGGGCCACCCAGGCUGGCUGAGUCAGGUCCACGAGCGGCACAAGGUGAACCGGGACUGGAAUGCCCUGCGGUUCAUCCUAAAUGGAGGUGAGGUUCCACUCGUAUCAGCUAGCAGACAGCCACGUCCUGAGUCUCCGCAAACGGCCCGAGUGCUUCCCACGUGUUUCCCACGUGGCUGCACAGCUCAAAGGCUACGAAAUGGAGGGCUGAGACAUUCGCCACCGAACCAGGAAACAGACUUGGAGGCCUCCCACUAUACCGGCCCCCACACCUGACGUGCCAGCUAGUCUGCGCUUACUGGUAAGGAUGGAGACCACCUAGCCGGUACUGGGCAGCUUUCCUCCUCCUGUCGUUCAGCCUGACCUUGCAGAGCAACGCUCCAGUCUAAUGCUAAUACUGAAUUCUGGAAGCUCCCAAACAGAUCCUAAAGCAGCAAGACUUCAGAACCGGGAUGGGUAGGAACCAAACACCCAAAGCUUAAGCAGCCUAAACUUAAGCCUGGAGAGAUCCACCUCAGAGAGCUCCACAGCAGCAUCAGGGCGCUUCAUCACCGCUAACGAGCACUCAGCUUAAUUACUACUAAUUAACAGGCCAAUCCAUUUCUUCAGGGCAGCGCUCCGUCAGCCUGACGUAUCAUAUAAGCGAGCACGAGGCCCAGAUAGACAGUAAUAUUCAUGGAUAGAGCCUUUAGUGAUUAAUGCUGCAUCUCCUGCUUCCCUCAGACAAUACGCUCGCUGUCGUGUUUAUGAGCGCGGCAUGUGGCAGCUGUGAAAUAUUAAGAUGCCGUCUAUUGAAUUAGACCGGCAAACAUUUGCACUAAUCCCCAUUAUAAACAAUUAAACAGACAGAACAAGGCAGCUUGACGGCAGCUCGGGCUCUUGAAUAGGUAUCAUCGUUAUUACGGCAUUCGAGGAACGAGCAGAAGCCCGGAUCUGCGUUGGCGCCGCGAGCUGAAGGACCGAAAAAGGGAUCUGGCAGGGAGGUCUCCGCGGAAAUGCAGCAGGCUCUGGCUGCGAGCUCACGGCACACAUCCUGAUGCCGUCAGCUCGCACGGAAAACACUAACAAUCGUUACAAAUCAGCCGGAGUGAAAAGGUCCGGGCGGUUCAGACGCUAGUCGUCCAUCGGGAUGCCCCUCAGAGGGGCCCUCAGCCAGUGGGGGUCACCACCUGAGAGGCAGGUUGGAGAGGUGGGAAUGCAAUGGCCGGUUUACAGCAGCCGGGGACGCGAUGUGGAGCACCUGAGCCUGUGACACCGUCAUGCAGCUGGGGGCAGGAAGCAUGCC